CACGCGCGUGCCUCAGGGAGAGGGGCUCGCCUUCCGCGCGCGCAUGGUGGGGACCGGGCUCGGCGCCGGCGUGCGCGA
This 78-nucleotide transfer RNA is filed under the name Salinarimonas ramus. RNAcentral describes it as "tRNA-Gly". Lineage: Bacteria; Pseudomonadati; Pseudomonadota; Alphaproteobacteria; Hyphomicrobiales; Salinarimonadaceae. The record is from RNAcentral.